RNAcentral lists this ribosomal RNA (1750 nucleotides) under metagenome. Its description in RNAcentral is "bacterial LSU rRNA". It matches the Rfam family "Bacterial large subunit ribosomal RNA", at positions 826 to 2555 of the family's 2925-position model. The record is from RNAcentral.
AGGCCAAUCAAACUUCGUGAUAGCUGGUUCUCUCCGAAAUAUAUUUAGGUAUAGCCUUGUGUUGUAGCAUAUAGGGGUAGAGCACUGAAUGGGCUAGGGCUGCUUACCGCGGUACCAAACCCUAUCAAACUAUGAAUACUAUAUGUGGAAUCACAGGAGUCAGGCGGUGGGUGAUAAAAUCCGUCGUCGAGAGGGGAACAACCCAGACUAACAGCUAAGGUCCCUAAGUUACAUCUAAGUGGAAAACGAUGUGGAGUUACUGUGACAACCAGGAGGUUGGCUUAGAAGCAGCCAUCCUUUAAAGAAAGCGUAACAGCUCACUGGUCUAGUGAUUCUGCGCGGAAAAUAUAACGGGGCUAAGAUGUGCACCGAAGCUUUAGAUUCGAAUUUAUUCGAGUGGUAGGAGAGCGUUCUAUUCAGCGUUGAAGAUGUACCGGCAAGGAGCGUUGGAGCGGAUAGAAGUGAGCAUGCAGGCAUGAGUAGCGAUAAUUGAGGUGAGAAUCCUCAACGCCGAAAACCCAAGGUUUCCUACGCGAUGCUCGUCAUCGUAGGGUUAGUCGGGUCCUAAGUCGAGUCCGAAAGGGGUAGACGAUGGCAAAUUGAUUAAUAUUUCAAUACCAACAUACAAGCGCGAUGUGGGGACGCAUAGAGUUAAUCGAGCUCACUGAUGGAAUAGUGGGUCGAAGGACGUAGGUUGUUAAGUAGGCAAAUCCGCUUAACGUUAGACCGAGAUCUUACAGGCUCUUGACACUCUUCGGAGGAGAUGGAGAAUCGAUGAUACUGUCGUGCCAAGAAAAGCCACUAAGUAUAUUGUAUGUUGCCCGUACCGUAAACCGACACAGGUGGGUGGGAUGAGUAUUCUAAGGCGCGUGGAAGAACCCUGGUUAAGGAACUCUGCAAACUAGCACCGUAUCUUCGGUAUAAGGUGUGCCUACUUUGGUAUAUGGACUUGCUCCAAAAAGCUAGAGAGGUUGCAACAAAGAGUCCCUCCCGACUGUUUACCAAAAACACAGCACUUUGCUAACACGUAAGUGGAUGUAUAAGGUGUGACGCCUGCCCGGUGCUCGAAGGUUAACUGAUGAUGUCAGCGCAAGCGAAGCAUUUGAUUGAAGCCCGAGUAAACGGCGGCCGUAACUAUAACGGUCCUAAGGUAGCGAAAUUCCUUGUCGGUUAAAUACCGACCUGCAUGAAUGGCGUAACGAGAUGGGAGCUGUCUCAACCAGGGAUCCAGUGAAAUUGUAGUGGAGGUGAAAAUUCCUCCUACCCGCGGAAAGACGGAAAGACCCCGUGCACCUUUACUACAGCUUGACACUGUAGCUUGGAUAUUCAUGUGCAGGAUAGGUGGGAGGCUAUGAUGACUAGACGCAAGUAGAGUCGGAGCCAUCCUUGAGAUACCACCCUUGAAUAUUUGAGUUACUAACUGCGAUGAGUUAUCCUCAUUCAGGACAAUGUCUGGUGGGUAGUUUGACUGGGGCGGUCGCCUCCUAAAUAGUAACGGAGGCUUACAAAGGUUAGUUCAAAGCGGUUGGAAAUCGCUUGUUGAGUAUAAUGGCAUAAACUAGCUUGACUGUGAGACAUACAAGUCGAACAGAGACGAAAGUCGGUCAUAGUGAUCCGGUGGUUCUGUGUGGAAGGGCCAUCGCUCAAAGGAUAAAAGGUACGCCGGGGAUAACAGGCUGAUCUCCCCCAAGAGCUCACAUCGACGGGGAGGUUUGGCACCUCGAUGUCGGCUCAUCGCAUCCUGGGGCUG